This is a non-coding RNA of Myotis davidii, 74 nucleotides long. The record is from Rfam. NCBI's taxonomy places the organism in Eukaryota, Metazoa, Chordata, Mammalia, Chiroptera, Vespertilionidae.
GCCCAUGUGGCUCAGUUGGUUGAGCAUCAUCCCUUGGAUUGAAAGGUUGCCAGUUCAAUUCCUGGUUGUGGGUU